AGCUUUGUGCAGUGGCGGUAUCGUAGCCAAUGAGGUUUAUCCGAGGCACAAUUAUUGCUAAUUGGAAACUUUUUAUUGUCAACAGGGGUUAUUUUGGUGGGGAGGUUAUGGUCUAUCUUUAGUUUUUAUCUUGUAGCUCUCUGAAUUAAAAAGAAAAAAAGUAUU
Molecule: small nuclear RNA, 165 nt
Organism: Panthera leo (lion)
Lineage: Eukaryota; Metazoa; Chordata; Mammalia; Carnivora; Felidae
Gene: U4
Rfam family: U4 spliceosomal RNA
About the family: U4 small nuclear RNA (U4 snRNA) is a component of the major U2-dependent spliceosome. The structure of U4 snRNA from yeast and human has been reported.
Source: Ensembl